CCUUCCGUGGCUCAGUGGGGAGCAACUGGACAUCGUGAACCUUGUGUUUGUUUUCCAGGCGGCGUGGGUUCGACUCCCACCGGAAGCA
This is a non-coding RNA of Mycena polygramma, 88 nucleotides long. NCBI's taxonomy places the organism in Eukaryota, Fungi, Basidiomycota, Agaricomycetes, Agaricales, Mycenaceae. The record is from the annotation of a GenBank genome assembly.